Molecule: ribosomal RNA, 484 nt
Filed under: uncultured bacterium
Lineage: Bacteria
Description: partial 16S ribosomal RNA
Rfam family: Bacterial small subunit ribosomal RNA
Source: RNAcentral
AUUGAACGCUGGCGGCAGGCCUAACACAUGCAAGUCGAGCGGAUGAAGGGAGCUUGUUCCUGGAUUCAGCGGCGGACGGGCGAGUAAUGCCUAGGAAUCUGCCUGGUAGUGGGGGAUAACGUCCGGAAACGGGCGCUAAUACCGCAUACGUCCUGAGGGAGAAAGUGGGGGUUCUUCGGACCUCACGCUAUCAGAUGAGCCUAGGUCGGAUUAGCUAGUUGGUGGGGUAAAGGCCUACCAAGGCGACGAUCCGUAACUGAUCUGAGAGGAUGAUCAGUCACACUGGAACUGAGACACGGUCCAGACUCCUACGGGAGGCAGCAGUAGGGAAUAUUGGACAAUGGGCGAAAGCCUGAUCCAGCCAUGCCGCGUGUGUGAAGAAGGUCUUCGGAUUGUAAAGCACUUUAAGUUGGGAGGAAGAACAGUAAGUUAAAACCUUCCUGUUUUGACGUUACCAACAGAAUAAGCACCGGCUAACUUCGUG